GGACCAGCUCGUCGUCAGCCUCGGCGCCGAGGUGAGCACACCACGCGCGCGGGUCUGAGGUGGCCGCGCACCAACUCCUCCAUCUCGAGCUGCAGGUCACCACCCCGUCAUCUCCGAGUGCUUCGCCCUUCACUGCAGAGCCCCGCGCCGAUGUCAAAAGUCACGCCGCGGCUCUAUCGGGGGAGCGAAGGUGGCGGCGGAGCGAGACAUCGACGACCUGCCGCGGAACAACGGCAACCACAUGCCGCUCUGGUUCCUCGAGCGUGCCGCGCUGACCCACCUGGCCAGGGCCUCUGUCGCGCACGGGCCGUGCGCUACACCUGGGCUGACACCUACGCUGCCGGCGCUGCCUCGCCUCCGCCCUCGCACGCCGGUCCGUCGGACACGGAAGCACGAUAUAACUAGAAAAUACCAUGUGUUGUGGCCACCAUCUAUAUGUCCUACACAAUAUCUAUUUGGAAGAAUGGAAGCGAAGGACGAAGCUGGCGGCAGAGGUGGCCAAAUCAGCAACAGAGAUAGACCACAGAAGCAAGGGUAGAUUGGACUUUGAAACCAAGUCCGUCUCGUCCCUGUGUCGAGCUGCUUCUUCCAAGACUGCAGAAGUGCUUACAUGAAUUUUGGAUCAAUUCGCAUUAAUGAAAGCUUCAUAAAUUACCUUAGGACAAAAAGGACAUGAAAUCUAUUUCCAUUUGUUUCGUUUGUGCUUGAAUGAGAUGAAUCUUAGCUUGGGAUUGUACCUUCUUUUUGAGUAUUGGUGUACUUUACUACUGUUCAGAGAUGUCUGUUCGUCCAAUGAUGAUAGCAAUAUAAGCCUAUUACCUUCUGACAAUAAAGGGUAAAGAAUUUGUUGUUUUAAAUUU
Long non-coding RNA from Panicum virgatum (switchgrass), 860 nucleotides. RefSeq lists it as uncharacterized. NCBI's taxonomy places the organism in Eukaryota, Viridiplantae, Streptophyta, Magnoliopsida, Poales, Poaceae. The record is from RefSeq and is a predicted model, not a curated record. The transcript has 2 exons.